CAGCCUCUUAUGACAUAUUACUAAGUAUAUGAGUAUUUACAGGUAUUUACAGGUAUUUACACAUAUUUACACUUGAGUAGUAUAAAGAGAUCAGACUCAGUACGAAAGAUUAUAUGAAGGGUUGGUGUUCAGAAUGGAGCGAGGACAAGAAGGAAAGGUAUAUACUAAGUAUAUAAAGGUAUUUAUAGGAAGUCGAGAUAAUUAGAGAGAGUUUUUACUUAGCAGGAAACUAAUAAGUGAUGACAAUAAAAGCAUAUAAAUGUAUAUAAACAUAUGGGA
This 279-nucleotide unclassified non-coding RNA is filed under the name Metchnikovella incurvata. Its description in RNAcentral is "external transcribed spacer". The record is from RNAcentral. Lineage: Eukaryota; Fungi; Microsporidia; Metchnikovellidae.